UAAGCGGAGCUGAGCCUGGAAAACUGUCCAGCCUACACCACGACCAUCUUUGGUCUGACAAUUCUUCACAAGAGAUGUGCAACCAGGAAGCAGGCACAGGAAGCAUAAACAGAAGACAGCAGAGCACAGAUUUCAGAGGACAGUAUGAACAGGAUGUGCAUUCCAGCAUCACUGGGAAAAAAAAAGAAAAAAGAAAAAUCUCCAGUUUCAAGAUUUUAGAAAUGAUCUUUGGACAUGACAAGAGCGUCUGAUUUGAAAAUGUCAGUGGUGAAAGCUGAUGUGGGUGGAUGGGGUGAACACUGCACUCUUCUUGCCCACUCAGCUGAUGAUAACUUCAAAUACCACCACUUAUUAUACCCAGCCACUUCCCUAUGACAUACAACUUGCACUCGGAUGAUGACUGAUGAAAAUGGGCCAGGCUUUCCUUUGUGCCAUUUCUCUGCAAAACUGAAAUAUUGGCGCAGUUGCUGAGCAGUGAAUUGUUACACCUAAUACUUAAAUCUAUUUCUUAGAAAGAACAAGGGCCUAAGGAAUAUGGGCUAAGCUAAACAUGAGAGACAAGCAGCAAGGUGCAGCUGACAUGAUGCAUCAGUUUACUAUGACUUCCUCUUUUAUAUAUUACAAAAAUUUAAGAAUAGCAUCUUGUAUUAUCACAAUGUCUGCCGAACAGCGUAAAAUGAGCAAGCAAGAAAUUACUGCAAUAGCUCCAGUUAUUAAAAAUGCAUUAUUUCCUUAUUAACAAUUCAAAACAGAUGCCAAGGAUCAUCUCUGCUAGAAAUAAAACUGCUGGAGUGAAUAAAACAUCCAGCAAUUAGCUAAAAGCAGAUCAGAAAUGCUCCAGAUUUCACUGUAGUACACUCAUUAAUUGUUUCUCUUUCAAAGCAAAUUUCACUUUAAAUUCUGGGCUACAAAAUUAAUUCCUUUGAACAUUUUCUAAAUAAAGCUGAAAACCUAAAAUUAGAAUUAAGCAACCAUUCUGAGACUCUUCCAUUUCCAAUCAUUUCCAUUAAUACCAAACAAAUGGAAAGAUUUACAGCUAUAUUAAAUUACAAAUGGUCGGCCCAAUGUUAUAAAUCAGGGGUCAGUAACGGCUAGAGUGCCAAAAACAACCCAGCCUCAACCCAGGCCUCAAUUUAGUACACCCGAGGCACACAGAGGGGAGCUGUGAAGGGCCCGAUCCUCACUGCUGGUGGUGGUGCCUCUGGGCAGAUGGCCAGGGAGUGGCCAGGGUUGCACUGCCCCAGGCCCUUGCCCACUGUGCACGUACAGCCACUGCCACCACAGAGCCAAUGUUGGAGCUCCAGACUUGGUGUAGUUGUUUGCAGCCUGCCUGCCACUUGCUGCAGCUGCCCAGAGCCUGGGCCAGCUGUGGCAGCCUGCCGGGAGACUGGAGACAGCUGGGCCAGGUUCCAUAGUGGCGGUGGCUGCAUGCAUGCCUCGGGGCACAUGGCUGGGAAGGGGCCUAGGGCAACGCAACUCUGGCCUUUCCCCUGCUGUCCAUGCCAAGGCAUGUAUGCAGCCACUGCUACCAUGGAGCCCUGCUGAAACCUGGUGCAGCUGUUUGCAGCAUCCUGGCUGCCUGCUACAGCUAACUUGGCCUCUGGGCAGCUGCAGCAGGUGAAGGGCAGGCUGCAAAUAGCUGCACUGCAGUCCAGAGCCCCGGCACUGGCAGGGCUACAUGAGCACCUCAGGGUGCACAGUGUGCAAGGCACUAGGGUUGCGCUGCCCUGGGUCCCUUCCCAGCUGUGUGCCUUGUAGCAUGCAUGUAGCUGCCACUGCCAUGGAGCCCAGUCAGGGCUCUUGAGCUGUGAGCCGCUCAGGCUCCAUGGCUGCCCAGAGCCUGAGCUGGCUGUCGGGUGUUGAGAAUUGGCUUUGCAUGCUAUACGCAGGUAUGUGUGCUGGGGCUUGCCAACCCCUGUUGUAAAUGCUCCAGAAACUGAACUUCUAUUAAUGUCAGGGUCUUGUCAUGUGGUAAUUUUGGGUGGCUCCUGGAGCACUUAACAUCUGGACUGUCCACCCAGUAGCACCUGGAACUAGUUUUAAGCACUCGUUAUGUGGCUCAAAGUUACACCACUCCAGGGUAGCAUUCUCUGUGAUGCUUGUUACCCAGCCAGGGGCAACUGGUGCCUCCCAAGUCUGGGGGGGGCACCAGAUCUCCAAUGUGGGGGGCUGGACCUGAUGGACUCAUAAGGUCCCUUCCAGCCCUGAACUUCUGUGAAACUGUGCGCUGCUCACAGGGUAAUGUGUAACAAGGCCUUCAGAGAGAGUUUCGCAUGCAGAGCACUUCAAUGAUCAGGCCUGUAGUUGGCACUCUACUUACUGAAUAAACUGGUUGUUUAUAUGUGUAUGGCCUUAUAAUUUAGUACGCUCAGAAGCAACAUCUACAGCAAUUAAUGACUUAAGGUUAGACUAUAAUAUCCCUAUUUAUGAGGAUCAAUAUGGGACCACUCACAUAGCUGUACUCAUUGACGUGUGUCAAGGGAUCAAAUUCUAGUCCUUAAUUCAACUCUGGAAUAGAAUGAGGUGUUCUGGUACAACUAAGAAUGGAUUCUAUUUCCCACUGAGGAGCCAUGGAAAGGCAUUGGCUCUCUGACAACCCCUUGGCCUCCAGCUUGCUACCACCUUUUGAGAGAGACAGCACAAUCCCUACCCAUUCAGUUUAGCUGGUUCGUAUGUUGGGGGAUGGGACAAGGCUCCAA
Alligator sinensis (Chinese alligator) is the source of this 2699-nucleotide long non-coding RNA. RefSeq lists it as uncharacterized. The transcript is spliced from 4 exons. Lineage: Eukaryota; Metazoa; Chordata; Crocodylia; Alligatoridae. The record is from RefSeq and is a predicted model, not a curated record.